This 496-nucleotide ribosomal RNA is filed under the name uncultured bacterium. RNAcentral describes it as "partial 16S ribosomal RNA". It matches the Rfam family "Bacterial small subunit ribosomal RNA", at positions 28 to 506 of the family's 1533-position model. The record is from RNAcentral.
GAUGAACGCUGGCGGCGUGCCUAAUACAUGCAAGUCGAGCGAACAGAUGAGGAGCUUGCUCCUCUGACGUUAGCGGCGGACGGGUGAGUAACACGUGGAUAACCUACCUAUAAGACUGGGAUAACUUCGGGAAACCGGAGCUAAUACCGGAUAAUAUAUUGAACCGCAUGGUUCAAUAGUGAAAGACGGUUUUGCUGUCACUUAUAGAUGGAUCCGCGCCGCAUUAGCUAGUUGGUAAGGUAACGGUUUACCAAGGCAACGAUGCGUAGCCGACCUGAGAGGGUGAUCGGCCACACUGGAACUGAGACACGGUCCAGACUCCUACGGGAGGCAGCAGUAGGGAAUCUUCCGCAAUGGGCGAAAGCCUGACGGAGCAACGCCGCGUGAGUGAUGAAGGUCUUCGGAUCGUAAAACUCUGUUAUUAGGGAAGAACAAAUGUGUAAGUAACUAUGCACGUCUUGACGGUACCUAAUCAGAAAGCCACGGCUAACUACGU